GUUGUAUGGUUAAGUGACUAAGCGUACACGGUGGAUGCCUUGGCAGUCUCAGGCGAUGAAAGACGUAGUAACUUGCGAUAAGCCCAGAUUAGGUAGUAACAACCAUUUGAGUCUGGGAUUUCUGAAUGGGGAAACCCACUUACAUAAGUAAGUAUCAUUAACUGAAUACAUAGGUUAAUGAGGCGAACCGGGGGAACUGAAACAUCUAAGUACCCCGAGGAAAAGAAAUCAACCGAGAUUCCGAAAGUAGCGGCGAGCGAAAUUGGACUAGCCCUUAAGCUUUACACGCGUUAGACGAACGGUCUGGAAAGUCCGACGAUACAGGGUGAUAGUCCCGUAGUUGACGACGUGUGUUCAGUGAAAUCGAGUAGGGCGGGACACGUGAUAUCCUGUCUGAAUAUGGGGGGACCAUCCUCCAAGGCUAAAUACUACUGACUGACCGAUAGUGAACCAGUACCGUGAGGGAAAGGCGAAAAGAACCCCUGUGAGGGGAGUGAAAUAGAACCUGAAACCGUGUACGUACAAGCAGUAGGAGCAGGCUUUGUCCUGUGACUGCGUACCUUUUGUAUAAUGGGUCAGCGACUUAUAUUCAGUGGCAAGGUUAACCAUCUAGGGGAGCCGUAGGGAAACCGAGUCUUAACUGGGCGUUCAGUCUCUGGAUAUAGACCCGAAACCAGGUGAUCUAGCCAUGGGCAGGUUGAAGGUUGAGUAACAUCAACUGGAGGACCGAACCGACUAAUGUUGAAAAAUUAGCGGAUGACUUGUGGCUAGGGGUGAAAGGCCAAUCAAACCUGGAGAUAGCUGGUUCUCCCCGAAAGCUAUUUAGGUAGCGCCUCGGACGAAUACUACUGGGGGUAGAGCACUGUUAAGGCUAGGGGGUCAUCCCGACUUACCAACCCUUUGCAAACUCCGAAUACCAGUAAGUACUAUCCGGGAGACACACGGCGGGUGCUAACGUCCGUCGUGGAGAGGGAAACAACCCAGACCGCCAGCUAAGGUCCCAAAUUACUACUAAGUGGGAAACGAUGUGGGAAGGCUCAGACAGCCAGGAUGUUGGCUUAGAAGCAGCCAUCAUUUAAAGAAAGCGUAAUAGCUCACUGGUCGAGUCGGCCUGCGCGGAAGAUGUAACGGGGCUAAGUAGUAAACCGAAGCUGCGGCAAUAUACUUUUGUAUAUUGGGUAGGGGAGCGUUCUGUAAGCGGUUGAAGGUGUGUGGUAACGCAUGCUGGACGUAUCAGAAGUGCGAAUGCUGACAUGAGUAACGAUAAAGGGGGUGAAAAACCUCCUCGCCGGAAGACCAAGGGUUCCUGUCCAACGUUAAUCGGGGCAGGGUAAGUCGACCCCUAAGGCGAGGCCGAAAGGCGUAGUCGAUGGGAAACGGGUUAAUAUUCCCGUACUUCUUACAAUUGCGAUGGGGGGACGGAGAAGGCUAGGUGGGCCUGGCGACGGUUGUCCAGGUUCAAGUGCGUAGGCUUAAGAGUUAGGUAAAUCCGGCUCUUUUUAAGGCUGAGACACGACGUCGAGCACCUACGGGUGUGAAGUCAUUGAUGCCAUGCUUCCAGGAAAAGCCUCUAAGCUUCAGAUUGUAAGGAAUCGUACCCCAAACCGACACAGGUGGUCGGGUAGAGAAUACCAAGGCGCUUGAGAGAACUCGGGUGAAGGAACUAGGCAAAAUGGUACCGUAACUUCGGGAGAAGGUACGCUCUUGAUGGUGAAGUCCCUCGCGGAUGGAGCUAUUGAGAGUCGCAGAUACCAGGUGGCUGCAACUGUUUAUUAAAAACACAGCACUGUGCAAAAUCGUAAGAUGACGUAUACGGUGUGACGCCUGCCCGGUGCCGGAAGGUUAAUUGAUGGGGUUAGACUUC
RNAcentral lists this ribosomal RNA (1864 nucleotides) under Vibrio parahaemolyticus. Its description in RNAcentral is "partial 23S ribosomal RNA". It matches the Rfam family "Bacterial large subunit ribosomal RNA", at positions 1 to 1898 of the family's 2925-position model. The record is from RNAcentral. Lineage: Bacteria; Pseudomonadati; Pseudomonadota; Gammaproteobacteria; Vibrionales; Vibrionaceae.